ACAAAUUGUGUUUAAGGUGAUGCUCACUCACCCAAACUGUCCAGAAAGUUCUCUCCACCCUGCUGACAAGAGGACCGUCGGAGUCCAUCUUCAAAACUUCCGUCUAGUUGUCUUUAAUGUGUUGAUCUUCUCUGGAUUUAACCUUGGAAAGUCGAAGAACUUAAACCAGCCUGUCGGUGAUAUUUUGAUAUUCAAACAGAAACUCGGUAACAAACUGUAGGACGGGUUUUUGGACACCCCCGUUGGCUGUCAGUCAGUCACGGUUCCUGAAUCAGGCAUGUCCGGUGUGUUAUUAUGAGGAAGAAGCUGAUUAACACAGCUGAGUCGCCCCUGCAUCAUGACGAGUCUCCGUGGUUGCACAGUUUGCGGAUGUAGGGUCGUGUCCAGAGGUGGGCUGUGGGGCCCCAUUGAAUUCUGACUAGUACCACCCUAAAAUCCCACACUAUGAUUGGUCUAUUUACCUUGUGCAUCUUCUUGUUGAGCUCAUAAAGAAUUAGGCCUGUACAAUA
Molecule: long non-coding RNA, 509 nt
Organism: Notolabrus celidotus (New Zealand spotty)
Lineage: Eukaryota; Metazoa; Chordata; Actinopteri; Labriformes; Labridae
Exons: 2
Source: RefSeq, a predicted model, not a curated record